UCGGAGAGUUUGAUCCUGGCUCAGGACGAACGCUGGCGGCGUGCCUAAUACAUGCAAGUCGAGCGAACAGAAGGGAGCUUGCUCCCGGAUGUUAGCGGCGGACGGGUGAGUAACACGUGGGUAACCUGCCUGUAAGACUGGGGUAACUCCGGGAAACCGGAGCUAAUACCGGAUAGUUCCUUGAACCGCAUGGUUCAAGGAUGAAAGACGGUUUCGGCUGUCACUUACAGAUGG
This 234-nucleotide ribosomal RNA is filed under the name Bacillus safensis. RNAcentral describes it as "partial 16S ribosomal RNA". It matches the Rfam family "Bacterial small subunit ribosomal RNA", at positions 1 to 228 of the family's 1533-position model. The record is from RNAcentral. Lineage: Bacteria; Bacillati; Bacillota; Bacilli; Caryophanales; Bacillaceae.